CCAAACUAUUUAAUCAUCCACUUUUGAAGUUUGGAAAAGCCAGCUUCAUCUCUCUCCCAAUUGUGCUCACACUGAAAGCUCUUUUGGGAGCAAGAGGAGGCUUAUGAGGAGUGGAGGUCACUGGCUGUCAACACUCGGGCAUGGAAAAUACGGAAAACUCUCCUGAAGUUGUUAUGGUCACAGAAACACCCUGAAUGGCACAGAUAAGUUGUGUGGCAGCCUAGGAGUUACGCUGACCCAUAAAACCUCACGCAAACUUCAAAAUUACAGCGGAAAAAGGCAGACAAAACAAAACAAAAAAAAAACAUUGGUGUAUAUCGCGCAGGGGUAACCGUGAACCUAAAGAAACACACAUUUGACAAGGCUUUCGUAGGAGUUGUGGGCAUUUUUUUUAACCCGGUAGCAGCGGGGAUCAUGUUUCUUAAUGGUCCCUCCAAGCGAGAAAAAUGAGAAAAAUCACCCCUCACACAAACCAUUUCAUAAUAUAUAUCAAAGCAUUUGUGAUCAGAUUAUGUAUCAUCUAUUUUUUGGGGGUUAUAUCAUGGCACAAAUUUGGCCCGUCGCUGCUACACGGUAAAGCCACAAAUUUGGCCCGUCACUGCUACACGGUAAAGCCACAAAUUUGGCCUGUCGCUGCUACACAGUAAAGCCACAAAUUUGGCCCGUCGCUGCUACACGGUAAAGCCACAAAUUUGGCCGGUCGCUGCUACACGGUAAAGCCACAAAUUUGGCCCGUCGCUGCUACACGGUAAAGCCACAAAUUGGGCCCAUCGCUGCUAUAUGGUAAAGCCACAAAUUUGGCCCGUCGCUGCUACACGGUAAAGCCACAAAUUUGGCCCGUCGCUGCUACACGGUAAAGCCACAAAUUUGGCCCGUCACUGCUACACGGUAAGGCCACAAAUUUGGCCCGUCGCUGCUACACGGGAAAGCCACACUUAAGAUUACACAGCACCAUUAAUACAUAACCAAUCGCUUUCAUGUUUUGGCCGUGAAUAGUCAUUACGUAAGCCUAGAGCCCUAUGGAAAAUAUUCUGAAGGUUUCCCGUAUAGAAAGGCACAAAGGUAUUUCUUAUAUUAUGUUUGUCGAACGUUGCGUAAAAUCGUGUAUUUUGUCAAAUUUUCCUCUUAAUACUCCUAUCUCCUUUACCCUAUCAGCAAUAUCUAGUCAUAGGUCCAUAGCUACUUGUACAGUCAAGAUUCCCUGCACUUUUCACGUAAAUAUGAUUGAUUUUAAAGUUUCUACGAUUAAAAAAGAAAAACAUUGACUUUUCACUCGGUCCGUUUAAACCCGCGCAAGACAUUUAGGGUAAUUAUAAGACUUUAUCUUCUAAUAUCAGCUAUUUCUAAAGGUCAAAGAAGGGGUCAGUUGGGUUCUAAUGAGAGUUUCUUUAGGUUCACGGUACAGAGGAAGGGUCAGACUACCACCAGGGUCAUAAAACUACCCCUGGAAAUGCCCACAACUCCUACGAAAGCCUUGUCAAAUGUGUGUUUCUUUAGGUUCACGGUACAGAGGAAGGGUCAGACUCCCACAAGGGUCAUAAAACUACCCCUGGAAAUGCCCACAACUCCUACGAAAGCCUUGUCAAAUGUGUGUUUCUUUAGGUUCACGGUACAGAGGAAGGGUCAGACUACCACCAGGGUCAUAAAACUACCCCUGGAAAUGCCCACAACUCCUACGAAAGCCUUGUCAAAUGUGUGUUUCUUUAGGUUCACGGUACAGAGGAAGGGUCAGACUACCACCAGGGUCAUAAAACUACCCCUGGAAAUGCUCACAACUCCUACGAAAGCCUUGUCAAAUAUGUGUUUCUUUAGGUUCACGGUACAGAGGAAGGGUCAGACUACCACCAGGGUCAUAAAACUACCCCUGGAAAUGCCCACAACUCCUACGAAAGCCUUGUCAAAUGUGUUUCUUUAGGUCCACGGUACAGAGGAAGGGUCAGACUACCACCAGGGUCAUAAAACUACCCCUGGAAAUGCCCACAACUCCUACGAAAGCCUUGUCAAAUGUGUGUUUCUUUAGGUUCACGGUACAGAGGAAGGGUCAGACUACCACCAGGGUCAUAAAACUACCCCUGGAAAUGCCCACAACUCCUGCGAAAGCCUUGUCAAAUAUGUGUUCUUGGGCGGCGAAAUGUCUCAUAAUAUAUAAAACGACCCUUAAAAUUUGCGUUACAAGGAAAUCAUUGCUCGGGGUUAUUUAUAAAUGGUAUAUGAAUGUUUUUAACCCAGUAUUGCAGAAUGUUAUAUUUCGACCAAAACGCCACCUCCCAGAUGUCACGUACCCCCUUAAGCUAAAUGAGAUAAUGAGAGUUCUUUUAUGAUUUCCUGUAAAGUAGAAAAUGAUGAUUAGGUGACGAUAUUUUGAUGUGGCAUGUAACUAUGUCUUUGUAAUGUUUAUUUUUUG
Molecule: long non-coding RNA, 2404 nt
Organism: Eriocheir sinensis (Chinese mitten crab)
Lineage: Eukaryota; Metazoa; Arthropoda; Malacostraca; Decapoda; Varunidae
Exons: 3
Source: RefSeq, a predicted model, not a curated record